Molecule: ribosomal RNA, 292 nt
Filed under: uncultured bacterium
Lineage: Bacteria
Description: partial 16S ribosomal RNA
Rfam family: Bacterial small subunit ribosomal RNA
Source: RNAcentral
ACAGACCUACGGGGGGCAGCAGUGGGGAAUUUUGGACAAUGGGCGCAAGCCUGAUCCAGCUAUUCCGCGUGUGGGAUGAAGGCCCUCGGGUUGUAAACCACUUUUGUAGAGAACGAAAAGACACCUUCGAAUAAAGGGUGUUGCUGACGGUACUCUAAGAAUAAGCACCGGCUAACUACGUGCCAGCAGCCGCGGUAAUACGUAGGGUGCGAGCGUCAAUCGGAAUUACUGGGCGUAAAGGGUGCGCAGGCGGUUGAGUAAGACAGAUGGGAAAUCCCCGAGCUGAACUCGG